AUUGAACGCUGGCGGCAUGCCUAACACAUGCAAGUCGAGCGGAUGAACGGAGCUUUCUCCUGGAUUCAGCUGCGGACGGGUGAGUAAUGCCUAGGAAUCUGCCUUGUAUUUGGGGAUAACGUCCGUAAACGGGCGCUAAUAUCGCAUACGUCCUGAUGUUGAAACUGGUGGUUCUUUGGACAACUCCCGUUUUGCUGUGCCUAGUUCGUAUUAGCUAGUUGGUGGGGUAAAGGCCUACCAAGCCGACGAUCCGUAACUGGCCUGAGAGGAUGAUCAGUCACACUGGAACUGAGACACGGUCCAGACUCCUACGGGAGGCAGCAGUGGGGAAUAUUGGACAAUGGGCGAAAGCCUGAUCCAGCAAUGCCGCGUGUGUGAAGAAGGUCUUCGGAUUGUAAAGCACUUUAAGUUGGGAGGAAGAGCAGUAAGAUAAUACCUUGCUGUUUUGACGUUACCAACAGAAUAAGCACCGGCUAACUACGUG
This 484-nucleotide ribosomal RNA is filed under the name uncultured bacterium. RNAcentral's name for it is "partial 16S ribosomal RNA". It matches the Rfam family "Bacterial small subunit ribosomal RNA", at positions 30 to 507 of the family's 1533-position model. The record is from RNAcentral.